UUUGUAUCAAAAUUUCAUCUUAUUUGAAUACUUCUACACUGUUAAACUUGAAAACGGCAGAUAUCAACAGUUAAAAAUUAUAGAUUUUGAAUCCUUUCGAUCACUAGGUAAAUGAUAUCAAAAAAUCACAAAAAUUAUUUUCUAGAAACUUCAAAUGCGCUAGAUCAAGUUUAACAGAGCUGAUCGUCGAUUCGAAAAUUUCAUCAUCGAAAACGGCUCAGGAGCACGGAUGCCCUGCUCUCUCUCUCUCUCUCUCUCUCUCUCUCUCUCUCUCUAUAUAUAUAUAUAUAUAUAUAUAUAU
This 301-nucleotide long non-coding RNA is filed under the name Ananas comosus (pineapple). Its description in RNAcentral is "long non-coding RNA (ACOM_LNC001643)". The record is from RNAcentral. Lineage: Eukaryota; Viridiplantae; Streptophyta; Magnoliopsida; Poales; Bromeliaceae.